UUUCCGUAGGUGAACCUGCGGAGGGAUCAUUACUGAGUGAGGGCUCACGCCCGACCUCCAACCCUUUGUGAACCAAACUUGUUGCUUCGGGGGCGACCCUGCCGACGACUUCGUCGCCGGGCGCCCCCGGAGGAUAUCAAAACGCUGCAUCUUUGCGUCGGAGUAUCAAUCAAAUUGAACAAAACUUUCAACAACGGAUCUCUUGGUUCUGGCAUCGAUGAAGAACGCAGC
RNAcentral lists this unclassified non-coding RNA (231 nucleotides) under uncultured fungus. RNAcentral describes it as "sequence contains ITS1, 5.8S rRNA gene". The stretch from base 183 to 231 matches the Rfam family "5.8S ribosomal RNA", at positions 1 to 49 of the family's 154-position model. Lineage: Eukaryota; Fungi. The record is from RNAcentral.